Molecule: ribosomal RNA, 484 nt
Filed under: uncultured bacterium
Lineage: Bacteria
Description: partial 16S ribosomal RNA
Rfam family: Bacterial small subunit ribosomal RNA
Source: RNAcentral
AUUGAACGCUGGCGGCAGGCCUAACACAUGCAAGUCGAGCGGAUGAAGGGAGCUUGCUCCUGGAUUCAGCGGCGGACGGGUGAGUAAUGCCUAGGAAUCUGCCUGGUAUUGGGGGAUAACGUCCGGAAACGGGCGCUAAUACCGCAUACGUCCUGAUGGAGAAAGUGGGGGAUCUUCGGACCUCACGCUAUCAGAUGAGCCUAGGUCGGAUUAGCUAGUUGGUGGGGUAAAGGCCUACCAAGGCGACGAUCCGUAACUGGUCUGAGAGGAUGAUCAGUCACACUGGAACUGAGACACGGUCCAGACUCCUACGGGAGGCAGCAGUGGGGAAUAUUGGACAAUGGGCGAAAGCCUGAUCCAGCCAUGCCGCGUGUGUGAAGAAGGUCUUCGGAUUGUAAAGCACUUUAAGUUGGGAGGAAGGGCAGUAAGUUAAUACCUUGCUGUUUUGACGUUACCAACAGAAUAAGCACCGGCUAACUUCGUG